Molecule: ribosomal RNA, 468 nt
Filed under: uncultured bacterium
Lineage: Bacteria
Description: partial 16S ribosomal RNA
Rfam family: Bacterial small subunit ribosomal RNA
Source: RNAcentral
GACGAACGCUGGCGGCGUGCUUAACACAUGCAAGUCGAACGGAAAGGCCCUGCUUUUGUGGGGUGCUCGAGUGGCGAACGGGUGAGUAACACGUGAGUAACCUGCCCUUGACUUUGGGAUAACUCCAGGAAACUGGGGCUAAUACCGGAUAGGAGCGCCUGCUGCAUGGGGGGGGUUGGAAAGUUUCGGCGGUUGGGGAUGGACUCGCGGCUUAUCAGCUUGUUGGUGGGGUAGUGGCUUACCAAGGCUUUGACGGGUAGCCGGCCUGAGAGGGUGACCGGCCACAUUGGGACUGAGAGACGGCCCAGACUCCUACGGGAGGCAGCAGUGGGGAAUAUUGCACAAUGGGCGGAAGCCUGAUGCAGCAACGCCGCGUGCGGGAUGACGGCCUUCGGGUUGUAAACCGCUUUCGCCUGUGACGAAGCGUGAGUGACGGUAAUGGGUAAAGAAGCACCGGCUAACUACGUG